UCCGUAGGCGGUGUGGCAAGUCGGGAGUGAAAUCUCUGGGCUUAACUCAGAGGCUGCUUCCGAAACUGCUGUGCUUGAGUGUGGGAGAGGCGCGUGGAAUUGCAGGUGUAGCGGUGAAAUGCGUAGAUAUCUGCAGGAACACCCGUGGCGAAGGCGGCGCGCUGGACCACAACUGACGCUGAGGGACGAAAGCUAGGGGAGCAAACAGGAUUAGAUACCCUGGUAGUCCUAGCCCUAAACCAUCAGGACUUGGGGUGUCUCGAGUACUCGGGACGUCCCGGAGCUAACGCGUUAAGUCCUGCGCCUGGGGAGUACGGUUGCAAGACUGAA
Molecule: ribosomal RNA, 330 nt
Filed under: uncultured bacterium
Lineage: Bacteria
Description: bacterial SSU rRNA
Rfam family: Bacterial small subunit ribosomal RNA
Source: RNAcentral